Molecule: long non-coding RNA, 19317 nt
Filed under: Phaseolus vulgaris (common bean)
Lineage: Eukaryota; Viridiplantae; Streptophyta; Magnoliopsida; Fabales; Fabaceae
Description: long non-coding RNA (PVUL_LNC001130)
Source: RNAcentral
UUUGGUCUAAAAUUCAUUUAAACUUCAGAUUAAACAAGUCCUACUAAAGUUUAUCUACUUUAAUUUAAAUUACUAUUUUCAAAUAUAAUCCGUUCUAUUAUGGAUUAUUCAAAUCGAUCCUUUGAGUUAUAUUUUUUUUUACCAACUUUACUACUAGUUAAAUUAAUAAAUAAUAAUAGAAUCUAAAAAUAGCACUUUUUCGGACGGUACAAACCAGAGCUGACUCAAUGCUUAUCCACUACUUGCAAGUUUGGAAAAUGAUACUGAUGAUUACCCGUUUCCUCCAUAGAAUGGGAAUGGAAUAAGUUAGCUUUUCUUUAGGGAGGCCCUCGUAAACAUCUCUCUAAUGUUGUGUGAUUCUGUCUCCAAUUUUACCUUCUUCGCUUGUCUACCUUUCUUUGCAGUUGUACCCUUCUUAUCUUGCUGUUGUUCCUGAUAAUUAGUAGUACACAAAUUAAUUCAAAACGAAUAACAAAUCCAGACUCAUUCUUUUUUGGUCCCAGCAAAUACCUGUAAUUCGUUACAUAAACCUGUGUUACUUCCUUCAGCAUUUACUUAUACUUUUCCAGUAACCUCGAGUAUAUUUAACCUGCAAAACAAAAAUCUUCUUAAGGAAUAUAUCUUAAGAAUCCUAUUUCAACCCCUCAAUGGUUUCUCUUCCAUGUUAUCACCACAAGGAAUAUACAGGUCAAAUCUUUAAAACAAGACAUUAUAAAAGGCUAUACUUAAGAUGGUUACACAAAAGCUCCAACCAAGGCUUUUCCUUGAAAUACUCUCCUAAUAUAGAGACUACAUCAAUCACUGCAUCACACAAGAGCGUUAAUGCACAGCAAAACAGUGAAAGAAAAAGACCAGGUAUGCAUGAUUUAAAGUAUUAAGAAAAGCAUCCGAUUAUUAUCAAGGAUGGUAUUGUUGCUUCAGUUAUUUAAAUACAAGAUUACAAUGAAGCAUCAACAUAGAUGUGUAUUUAGCUCAUGCAACAAUCCAGAAUGACAGAACUGUAUUCUUAAUUGGUAAUCCCUCAAAUAAGAGGGGAGAACAGUAACCAUUAGUAUGUUUUCAGAUAAUAAGAAUAUAGAUAGCCUAUUAACAAAAAGGACAAGAUUUUCAAAAAAAAAUUAAGUGUUGGUUAGAAGUACAAGAACAUGGCAUAGGCAGAGCAGGAACAAAAAUAUUAUUUUUUUAAGUAGAAGUAAAAAAUAUUUCCAGACAAGAGAUAAAUGAGAGAAAGAAAUGUACCUCACGCAAUAUAAACAUGAAUAACAAUGCAAAAUGCAUACUUUACAAGAUAAUCAAACAUCUCUACUUUCAGUUAUAUAAUCUCCAAAAAAACAAGAUCCAUACAAGUUCUUAAACCACUGAAGUUCUUGAAGCAUUUCAUUUGCAAACAGAUACUGCGUUGCAUUUCCUAUCAAAGAAGCGAAAAUAUGUAAAAACUGAAAGAAAACGCACGAUCAAGAAGCCUUAAUAAAAGUCUAAUUCCUUGAGAAAGAUUGACUGCAAAAUUGAGUGUGAUACGAUGUUAUUAACAGAACUAACAAAUUUUAAUCAACACAUUAAGAAAUUGAGAUAGCAAAAUCAAAUAAAUAAUAUUUAUAUAAACAAGAAACAAAUAAAUUGAGAUGUAAAUUUACCAGGUGCGAUGAGAACCCGUGGUUCCUGAACCCCAUCACACCAAUUCAUAGGUUUAGCAGAAGAGGAUUCAAAAGCCCUAACACCACCAGUCACCGAUCGUUCCGUUCGCCGGUAACGGUAACUGCAAUUCUAACGGAAUAGUGUUAAUGUCACAAGUGAAUUGCAAUGUAGAAAGAACAAGAACACAGUAAAACUUACAUAUUUAGAGAAAAGAGAGUGUUUACAGGGAAGGUAACGAGGGAGGAGUUAGAGUGGCGUUGAAUCGCCAAGUGAAGUUCUCCUGGGAAUGUGAAACUCAAACAUAUUCGCGCCAUUAAAAUCACCCUUCUGCUUUUUUCCCUUCUCGGACACACGGGCCCUAUCUACACCAAUCGGACCAGGCCCAAUGGGCUUACUGUUGCUUCAACCGAGUCCAACUUUUAUUUAUAUAUUUAAUAAAGUGAUACUUAUCAUUCUUAUUUUUAAAUAAGUUUUUUUUAAUAUAUAAAACUGAUUUUAUUUUAUAAUUUAAAUUUUAUAUUAAAUUUGGCUACUCAUAUUUUUUUUUCAUAAGAGAAAUGCGUGAGCUGAUAAGUUGGCUAAUUUAGAAUUUAUUCAUAGAGAAUCAUUUUAUUGGUAUAAUAGGCUUCUAUCUAGUCUGUUCUUAGAAUUUUUUAUUAAUAGACAUAAUCUACCUAUGUAUCGAUUUUGUUAACAUAUGGGUUUUGGUCUAGUCUUCCCAUAUUUUUGUAUUUUCUUUGUUUUUUUAAUAAUACUUUUUUCAUGUUGUUCCUGCUAGGGAGAUGAUACCUAGAAAACUAUUUAAGUCUUUGUCUUCCUCCUUCGGUCGGGCAGGUUGCUGGGUGCUUGACUGGGGUCCUUCUUGUCUUCGUGUUUCUCCUUCAGCUCUCGGUCUCAAGGUGAACACUGAAUGGGGUACCUGCGGAAGACACUCUGACGCUCAAGUCAGUAAAGCAGGUGAUAGGUACUCAGGUAGGUGUACAGUAAUAAAUGACAUACCUUGCUCAUUGGAAUGUGUGCUAUUUAUAUUAUUUUAAUGAACUUACAUCAUUGGGGCCUGAUUAGUGGAGUGGAUCACUCUUAGGGUUGCAUUACCUAAUCCUUAAUGAUGAUUUAGCUUCACUAACCUUGGUUUGAGCGUUAAUGCUUAUACGUGUCGGUCGGCCAGGUUGACAAAGUCGUGCCAGCGUGUCUCGGUCAUCUCGGGCAGGAAGGCCGAGACAUGUCAUGGUGUCGGUCAGCCAUACCGGUACACAUGUGAUGACAAAUGAUUGUUGUUACUUUAGGUGUCAACCUAACUAAGAUGUCAAGUAGUACAGUGAUGCCUAAAAUCAGAACGGAAUGGAAGAAAAAUCCAUAACCUGUUAUUAGCAAGUUUUGUUGUAUCUUGUAUUGAAAUGACGACCAAACAAUCCAAAUGUAUAAACUUUAACUUGAUGAUCAUGUAAAUAAAACGUUUACAUAUUGUUUAUAGUGAUCAUAAUUUCACUGUCACAGUGUAGACAAAAAUAUAAGAUAUCGAAUUAAAUUAUAUAUAUAUAUAAUUUAUUGGAUAAGUUUAUUUUAAAGUUAAAAUUAAUAAAAAAAUAACAUAGUAAAACAAUUUUUUUAAAAUACAUCAUGGGCAUAGAAGUUAGACAGAUUAAUAGACUGACCUAAUGUCAUGUGCAGAACUAAUUAUAUGCAUACAAUUUCAUAUUUCUUAUUUUCUUAAAUUCAAAAUAAUUAAUAUCUAUUUAACGUUUUAUUUUUCUAAAAACGUUACACCUUUUUUAAGCAACUUUUUCAAUAAUUCCUCUCUAUAUAAUUAAGUGAAUGUAGAAACACUUUCAUUAAAAAAAAUCACAAAAGUUGUUAAAAGAAAUUAAAGAUGUUCCUAUUUAAAUUUAUAAUAAUAGAAUAUUUCUCUGUUAAUUUCAUAAUCUUAAAAGACCAUUAUUUUGGAAGAGAAUACUUUAAAUAUAUUAAAAAACAUAUUGAUAUAUAAACAACAUAUAUAAAUACUAUAUAGUGUGUCUUUUGAAAUACCUUUAAAAUUGACAGUUUUCAAUUGAGAAUGAGAAUGGAACAGUCACACAUUUAUAGUCUCUUAAUUAAAUAAUUUUCUUAUCAAAAAGAUAAAUCAUAAUAAAAAAAUAUGAUAUUAAAUAAUAUUUACAUAUAAUUAUAAUAUAUGUUAGUUUUGUAAAUAUUGAGAGUUAUGUUAAGAAUUUGAGUAAUGAAUAAUAAACUAAUUGAAUUGUUGAGAGAGAAAAUAUAAAAAAAUAGUAUAAUAAAGUAAGAGUUCUUUAGAUGAAAUAAAAUGACCGAAGAAAAAAUAGAAGAUAAAUUGUUUAGGCUAGUUAAUAAAGUUAGGGUUUUUUACGAAAAUAUUUUUGUUCAUAUUUAGAUAUUUAAUCUUAGCUUUUUCAGAUUAUAAUUGUGAAUAAAUCAAAUAUUUUAAUUAAAAUUUAUCUAAUUAAGUUUAUUUAACCUUAAACUAUAACUAUUAAUUAGUUUCAAAGUUUUAAUACAAUAAAGGGUCUCGUGAAAGAAUCAAUGCACUUGGAUUUUAUUAGUCAAAGUCUAGUUCACUUAUUUUAGAUAAAGUUGAAAACAAAUCCAAAGAAUCUGGAAAAUUCGAAACAAAAUUUAAGAAAAAAAUUGAAGAAUAAAAUAUACAAAAAAACUCACAAAAAUAAAAUCUACAAAUUUUAGAAAAAUAAUAUUGGAAACAAUAUCUGAAAUAGAAUUUGAAUUUGAAAUCUACAAGAAAAAGAAACUUAUAAAUGGAUACAAGUCAAAAGAAGAAAAAUCAUCACCCGACACUAAGUACAGAAGAUGUUUAGGUGGGUCACUUUCCUUUGUUCUUGUGACUUUCCUUAGUUUUUGUUUGUAAUCUCUUGUUUUGUCUUUUUAUGCAAGACUAAAUAUUUUUGUGUUGACUAUCUUGUAAUCUCACAUUGAAUUCAAAGAUUUUGUGUUAUUCAAAAUUUUUCUUCAAUUAAUAGAUUGUGCUAAAAAUUAUGGUCCUUUUUAAUUCUAAUUACUAUUGGAAUUAUUUUUGAAUGCUUGUUGAUAAUUUGAUUUCGUUUAUUUUGAACAAUCUCUUGUUUUCCUAAUUCAAAGUAAAAGACUAAAAAUCUCACAAGUAAAUGCUUGAAAAUUUGUGAACAUUUAUUUCAUUAAUCACAGUAUGUUGAAUUUGAUUGACGUUUGUUUAGUUAAAUUCAAUUAUCUUUUGAAUAUUUGAUGGAUGGUAACUACUAAAGAAAUCAAUGAUGAUCAAACUCAAUAACCAAUAUAUUUGUUAAUUCAUUUUAUUCUUAUUCUUUUUAAUUUCUCUUUAUAAUUAGCAUUUUCUACAAGUGAUAUAUGAAUCAUGUUUAACUAAGAUUAUAAUUGAAUUCAUUGGAAGAUGUUUUGGGUUGACUAACCCUAUUUAUACUUUAAUUUUGUUAACUUAUCAUACAAUAAAUGAUCUAUGUCAAAUACCAUAUAAUUCAAGACAGUACAUUACAUUGUUUACACUCAAACUCUUUUAUUUAAUUGAAAAUGACAACAACGAUUAGGUUUACACGAUUAAACAUUCAAAUGAUAAUCAAACACUUUCACAUAAGAAAUCAUAAACAAAUACAAAAUAAAUAAUUUAAUUUAAUACAAUUGAAGUUUAUGUUUUGUAAAAUACAAUGAUUAGAUAUGCACAAAAGAAAAAAUAUAUGAUUGAGGUUGUGGUGAAAGAGUAAGUGUAUUGAAAUCUAAGUAAACUUAGUAGAUAUAUAAUUAAUUGAAUAAUUGAAAAAGAAAUGGAAAAUUGUAUAGAAAGAAAGGAUAAAUAUCCUUUUUUUUUUCCAUAAAAGUUUAUGUAAUAUGUUUAGAAAAAAAAGUAUAUAUAUAUAUAUAUAUAUAUAAUUUUUUUUUUUAUAAUUAGUUAAUUUGUCAACCAUCAAGUCAACACAUGAUAGUUUACUUUUACUUUUAAAAUGAAUAGCCUUAACUCAGUAUAGGAUCAAUUAUUCCAUAUUUAAACUAAUAUCAUCAUAUUUGAACCUUUGACUCCUUUAUCAUUUAAUUAAAAGAUUAAAGUCUUGCUAAUUUAUCAACAACUUUAAUAAAUGUUUACACUUUGAAUCGUCUUAUUGAAUGUUAAAAUUAUAAAUUCUAUAUAGAUUGGUAAUUUACAAUUUAUAACUUCAUCAAAUUGAUGAUUGCUGUAUUUUUUCAUUCACCUUGGUAAGCUAAGUUUAAUGUUUAUUUAUUUAAUUUACUUUUUUAUAUUAUUAAUAAAAAUAAUGUUUUAUAAAAAGAAGCUUAUAUGAGAUACCCUGAUCCACGUAUAACUUACUCGGUUUUCCAUUCUUUAAUCACUUAACCAUGUUACUCGGUUUUACUAUUUCUCUUACAUUUAUUAAAAUAUUGAAUACUUUUAAGAUAUCAAAUAUAUUUGUGUAGUGAUAAUGAAGUCUAAGAAUAUAAACUAACCAAUCUUGGUCGGUUUAAGAAUAUUUGCUUAAUUAUUUAAUUUCUUAUAAAAUAUUAACAAAUUUAUUAAAAAAGGAUACCAUAUAAAAUUAUAAUAUAGGUCCAAGAAAUAACGAGAUGAAAGAAAAUAGAUCUUCUUAUCUAAAAAUUUGUAAGGUCGUAUUUAUUUUACUGAUUCUCAUUUUUCUUAUAUCUGAAAAAGAUGGGUCAGAAGAGAUAAGGGCUUUAAAAAAUGAUGAGGAUAUUAAAUCACUGGAGUGAUCUAUAGGACAAAAAUGAAUCAUGAUACUUUACUCAUCCAAAAAAACCUACUAAUUAGGAUUGAAAAAACCAACGGUAAGUAUGGAAAAAUUUGUGUCGGUCCAACUCGGACUCAUCAAACUAAAAAAUUAUAUUACUCAAUUUUUUUAAUAAAUAAAAUACUAAAAAAUAAUUCUAAAUUAAAAAAAUGUUUUCAAAGUUCAAGUUAAAUAAUUAAAAUUCUCAAUUUUAAAUAUAAUAGUUUAAUAAAAAAUUUAGUAUAUUUUUUAACAAAACAAUAUUACUAGUGAAUCCAAACAAAUGCAAUGAAUUAAAAAUCCAUAUGGACUCUAAUUAAUCAAAUAUAUUUGGAUUUUUUUUAAAUCCAUUUUGUUAAUUAGAUUAAAUUCACUUUGUCAAUUACAUUAAAUUCAUUUUGAUUUGGACACAGACUAACUUGGCUCGAAUUGGACCUAAGCCGACUCAACCAGGAUACGAACCAACUCGUCUCCACAUCAGCCCAGACCCAAACAACCCAAGCCCGAACGACUAGACAUCAACGAGGGACCGUUCAACUCGACAUUGACACGAGCUCGAACAAAUUGACAUUGACCCGGGCCCGGACAAAUCGACAUCAGUCUGGGCCCUAACGACUACAUGAACCCGUGCCCGAACAAAUCAACAUUAACCUCAACAGGGACGACUCAACAUCAACUCGGCCCCAAACAACUCGACAUCAGCCCGGCCCGAAUGACUCGACAUAGGCCCCGACCCGGACGACUCAAUAUCAACCCGGGCACAAACAACUCAACUUCGACCCGAGUCCGAAGGACUCGACAUCGGCCCAAGCCUACUCACCUCGACAUCAGCUCAGGCACACUCGCCUUGACAUCGCCCCGGGGCCGAACAACUCGACAUCGGCCUGAGCCCAGAUGACUCAACAUCAUCUCAAGCUCGCUCAACUCGACAUCGACUCGUGUUCGGACGACUUGACACUAAACCCGGGCCUUCUCAACCUGACAUCGGCUCGGGCCUAAACGACUCGACAUCAACCCAAGCCUUAACAAAUUAACAUUGACCCCGACCCAGACGACUUGACAUCGACCCUGUCCUGGAUGACUCGACAUCGACCCCGGCCCGGACAACUUGAUAUCAACCCGAGCCCGAAAAUCUCAACUUCAGCCCAGGUCCGAACGACUCGACAUCAACCAAUGCUCAAACGACUACAUUAACCCGAGCCCAAAGAAAUCAACAUCAACCUUGACACAGACGACUCAACAUCGAAUGGAUGACGAGUGUAUGACGUAACACAAGUAUAGAGCCACUGGAAAGAUAUGACCUGUGAAGGUUGCGUUCCAAGAACGAGUUGCAUGCAUGGCACGUGAACAGCUAGAACACUCCCAGAGGCGUGUGACCCUAGAGAUCAGGUGCACGAGGAGGCACCCAGGUGGUCACCCGCCAGAGGUUGCACUCCAGUUAGGGACCCCACGCACUAGGUUAUCCUAAGAGUAGGAUAACAAUAGUGAUAGGUCCACCCCAUCAAAAAAGCCCAUUUCGGGUAAAGAGGAAACUCUAGUUUCAAUUUAUAAACAGAAAGGUAAAAAAACUUGGCAAGGUACGCUAUUCAUUUUGCAUCGCUUAAACACAUACAUUUACAGUUACACAUUCAUUUUGCCCUAAUACUAACUUGAGCGUCAAAGUGCAAACGGUCUCUAGAGCGCCCUUUGUCUGUGUUUUCAGGCAUUCACCAUGCAAGAAAGACACAUGCAAUCACAAGGAUUAUGGAUGUGAGAGUGACGUAGACGCACGAAGGCAUUUUCGAUAACCGGUAGGAACACUAUUUUUUACUAUUUUUCUUAGAUUUAUUAAAAUAUUGAAUACUUCUAAGAUAUAAAAUAUAUUUGUGUAAUGAUAGUGAAGUCUAAGAAUAUAAACUAACCAAUCUUGGUCGGUUUAAGAAUAUUUGCUUAAUUAUUUAAUUUCUUAUAAAAUAUUAACAAAUUUAUUAAAAAAGGAUACCAUAUAAAAUUAUAAUAUAGGUCCAAGAAAUAACGAGAUGAAAGAAAAUAGAGCUUCUUAUCUAAAAAUUUGUAAGGUCGUAUCUUAAAUUCUAAAUUUUUCUUAUAAGAUAUACUAUAUUAAUUUUUAAAAGAAUGAGACUACAUUUAAUAAAAAUGUCACAAAGGGUUGCAUUCCAUAGCUAUCUGAAAAAGAUGGGUCAGAAGAGAUAAGGGCUUUAAAAAAUGAUGAGGAUAUCAAAUCACUGGGGUGAUCUAGUAGGACAAAAAUGACUCAUGAAUCAUGAUACUUUUCCCCUCAAUAAAAAAACUUCUAAUUAGGAUUGAAAAAACCAACGGUAAGUAUGGAAAAAUUUGUGUCGGUCCUACCCGGACUCAUCAAACUAAAAAAUUAUAUUAGUCAAAUUUUUAAUAAAUAAAAUAUACUAAAAAAUAAUUCUAAAUUAAAAAUAUGUUUUCAAAGUUCAAGUUAAAUAAUUAAAAUUCAAUUUCAAUUUUAAAUAUAAUAGUUUAAUAAAAAUUUAGUAUAGUUUUUAGCAAAACAAUAUUACAAGGGGGUGAUGAAUUGAAUUUUUAUUAAAUCCAUAUCCACUUUAACUAGAUCACAUAUAUUUAGAUUUUUUAAAAUCUAUAUUGUCAAUUACAUUAAAUUCAUUUUGAUAUGAACACAGAUUAACUUGGCUCAAACUGGACCUAAGCCGACUCAACCUGGACACGAACCAACUCGGCUCUACAUCGACCCAUAUCCAUACGGCUCGACAUCGGCACAGGCCUGGACAACUCGACAUCGACCUGGGCCUGGACGACUCGACAUCGAUACAACACCAAACAGGUUGACAACAGUUCAAACCCGAACAACUCGUCAUCAGAGCACCGAUGACUCAACAUUGGCCCGAGCCCAGAAGAUUCAACAUUGAUCCAAGCCCGAACAACUUGACAUUAGCGCGAGCCCAGACGACUCGAAAUCAAUUCGGGCCCAUACGACUCGACAUCGAUCCGGGCCUGGACGACUCAACAUUGGCUCAAACCCAAACGACUUGACAUCAAUUCGGGCCUGUACAACUCGACAUCCUCCUGAGAGCAUUCAACUCGACAUCGGCUCAAGCCCGGACAACUCAACAUCAACCUAAGCCCACUCGGCUUGACAUCAGCCCUGGCCCAGACAACUCAACAUCGGCCCUUGCUCGGACAACUGGAAAUCGACACCAGCCCGAAUGACUUAACAUCGACCCCGACUCAAAGGACUCAACAUCAGACUCGAUACGGACAACUAGACAUUAGCCCAGGCUCGCACGACUCAACAUCAACCCCAACCUGGACGACUCAUCAUCAACCUGAUCCACUAGGCUCGACAUAAACUCAGACGACUCGACAAUAGCUUGGGCCCGCUCGGAUCAACAUUGAUCCAGGCCCGGACGACUCGACAUUGGCCCAAGCUCAGAAGACUCAACACCAGUUCAGGCCCAGAAGAGUAAACAUUGGCCCAGGCCCAGACGACUCUACAUCGAUUCGGGCCCGUACGACUCGACAUCGGCCCAAGCCUAGACAACUGAACAUCAACCCAAGUCCACUCGACUUGACAUCGGCCCGGCCAUGUUCAACUCGACAUCAGUCAGGGCUCAAACAACUCGACAUCAACCCGGGCCUUUACGACUCGACAUUGGCCCAGGCUCGGACAAUUGGAAAUCGGUCUCGACCCAAAUGACUUGACAUCAACCCUGACUUGGAGGACUCAACAUUGGCUCCGACCCGGACGAUUAGACAUUAGCACAGGCCCGAACAACUCAACAUCGACCCGGGUCCGAACGACUUAACAUCGUCCGAGCCUGGACAACUCAACAACAGCCUGGCCCACUUGACAUCGAUUCGAGCCAACUCAUCACGACAUCAACCCGGACUUUGACGACUUUGCAUCAACACAAGCCCAGAAGACUUGACAUCGACUGAAACCCGCUCGACUCAACAUCGGCUCGGGACCGAACGACUCAACAACAGUCCAGGCUCGAACAAUUCGACAUCGGCCCGUACGACUCGACAUCAUCCUGGGACUAUUCGACUCAAUAUCGGCCCAGGCCUAGAGGACUCAACAAAGACCUGGGCCCAUUCAGCUUGACAUCGAACCGACCAUGUUCAACUCGACAUCAACCCGGGCCAAAACGACUUAACAUUAGCCUCAAUUCGGAUGAUUGGAAAUCGACCCCGACUCGGAGGACUCAUCAUCAACCCCAGCCCGGACAACUAGACAUUAGCCCAGGAUCAAACGACUUGACAUUCACCGGGUACGAAUGACUUCACAUCAACCCAGGCUCGCUCAACUCGACAUCGGACCAGGCCCGCACAACUCAACAUCAACCUGGCCUACUCGGCUCGACAUCGAUUCGAGCCCGCACGACUCGACAUCGGCCCGAUCAUAGACGACUCCACAUCGACCCGAGCCAAGAAGACUCGACAUCAGCCUGGGCCCACUCGUCCCAACAUCGGCCUGAACUCGCUUGGCUCAACAUCAGCCCGGGCCCAAACGACUCCACAUCGAACUGGACCCAAACGACAACAUCCAUCUAGAACCAGACGACUCAAAAUCGAUUCGGGCCCGAAUGACUCAAAAUCAGACUUGGCCCGAAUGACUUUACAUUGACCACAACUCGGAGGACUCAACAUCAACCCGGGUCCGAAUGACUUGACAUACUCGACUCGACAUCGGCUCAGGCCCGCACAUCAGAACAUCAAGCCCGUCUUGGACGACUCGAUAUCAGCCUGACCCACUCGACUCGACAUCAGCCCGAUCCUGGAUGACUCUGCAUCGACCCGAGCCCAAAAGACUUAACAUCUGCCUGGGCUUGCUUGGCCCGACAUCGACCUGAACCUGAUCAGCUCAACAUCGACCUGAGCCCACACGACUUGACAUCAGUUCGAGCCCGUAUGACUUGGCAUCAUCCCGGGACCAUUAAGCUCAACAUAGACGACUCAACAUCAACUCAGGCCCACUCGGCUUGACAUCGACCCAGGCCUGAACUACUUGACAUCGACCCAAGCCUGAAUGACUUGACACCAACCCGGGCUGGCUUGACUCGACAUUGGCGCGAGCCCGCACUACUCAACAUCAGCCUAGCCCACUAAGCUUGGCACCAAUUCAAGCCCGCUCAACUCGACAUCGACCCAGGCCAGGACGACUCCUUCACGACCCGAUCCCAAACGACUCGACAUCAGCCUGGGCCUGCUUGGCCCGACAUCAACCUGAACUCGCUAAGCUUGACACCAGUUCGAGCCCACUCGACUCAACAUUUGUUUGAACCCACUCGACUCAACAUCAACUUGACUUUGGCCUGGGCCAGCUCGACUCAACAUCGACCUUAGACUACUCGACUCGACAUGCGCUCAAGCCCGCUCAGCUUGACAAGGGCUCGAGCCCGCUCGGCUCGACAUUCACCCAAGCCCGCUCAACUUAUUAUCGACCUUCGCCCACUCAGCUCGACAUUAGGCAUAGCCUAGUCAUUUGGAUAUCGCCCAUGGCCAGCUCAAGUCAAUAUCAAACCCGAAUGACAUCGACUUGACUUUGGCGCGAGCAUGCUCAACUCGACAUGGACCUUGGAAUACUCAGCUCGACAUGGGCCUAGACCGGCUCAACCGGACAUUGGCAUGGGCCAACUCAGCUCAAUAUCGGCCUCGACCAACUUGGGUUGACUCAAUAUUAGCCACUCAACUCGACUUGGCCCAGGAUUGACUCAACUUAAAAUUGGCCCAUACCGACUCGAUUCGACUCGGACCCGGACGACUCAGCUCGACGUGGACUAUUACUAUUUAUUUUUCUAAUUAUGAUCAUUAUUUUAAAGAUAAAUAAACCAAAUUUUAUAUAAUUUGGUCUAAAAUUCAUUUAAACUUCAGACUAAACAGGUCCUACUAAAGUUUAUCUACUUUAAUUUAAAUGACUAUUUUAAAAUAUAAUCCGUUCUAUUAUGGAUUAUUCAAAUCGAUCCUUUGAGUUAGAUUUUUUUUUAACAAUUUUACUACUAGUUAAAUUAAUAAAUAAUAAUAGAAUCUAAAAAUAGCACUUUUUCGGACGGUACAAACCAGAGCUGACUCAAUGCUUAUCCACUACUUGCAAGUUUGGAAAAUGAUACUGAUGAUUACCCGUUUCCUCCAUAGAAUGGGAAUGGAAUAAGUUAGCUUUUCUUUCGAGAGGCCCUCGUAAACAUCUCUCUAAUGUUGUGUGAUUCUGUCUCCAAUUUUACUUUCUUCGCUUGUCUACCUUUCUUUGCAAUUGUACCCUUCUUAUCUUGCUGUUGUUCCUGAUAAUUAGUAGUACACAAAUUAAUUCAAAACGAAUAACAAAUCCAGACUCAUUCUUUUUCCGUCCCAACAAAUACCUGUAAUUCGUUACAUAAACCUGAGUUACUUCCUUCAACAUUUACUUCUACUUUUCCAAUAACCUCGAGUAUAUUUAACCUGCAAAACAAAAAUCUUCUUAAGGAAUAUAUCUUAAGAAUCCUAUUUCAACCCCCUCAAUGGUUUCUCUUCCAAGUUAUCACCACAAGGAAUAUACAGGUAAAAUCUUUAAAACAAGACAUUAUAAAAGGCUAUACUUAAGAUGGUUACACAAAAGCUCCAACCAAGGCUUUUCCUUGAAAUACUCUCCUAAUAUAGAGACUGCAUCAAUCACUGCAUCACACAAGAGCGUUAAUGCACAACAAAACAUUGAAACAAAAAGACAAGGUAUGCAUGAUUUAAAGUAUUAAGAAAAGCAUCAGAUUAUUAUCAAGGAUGGUAUUGUUGCUUCAGUUAUUUAAAUAAAAGAUUACAAUGAAGCAUCAACAUAGAUGUGUAUUUUGCUCAUGCAACAAUCCAGAAUGACAGAACUGUAUUCUUAAUUGGUAAUCCCUCAAAUAAGAGGGGAGAACAGUAACCAUUAGUAUGUUUUCAGAUAAUAAGAAUAUAGAUAGCCUAUUAACAAAAAGGAUAAAUUCAACUAUCCUAUUUCUAUCUCCCAGGUUUAACCAACAACACAACAUGCAAUUAUUCGUUUCAAUGCAUUAUAGAUUAUAGUAUAUCUUUCCUCAAAUAUUUUAGCCUUUACAUAAAAUAAAAAAUGUUAGUUUCUACAAGUUGUCAUUGUAUCCCUCAUCACUGUCGCCCAUGUGUACAGACACAAUACAAUCAGAGCCGUGAUAAAUCUCCAAAGUAUUGCCAUAUUAAAAUGCCUCCAUUUUCCAUAUAAAAUGCAUUUAUAUCUUUUUUUUCCGAAAGAUAAACAUUUUACGAAGUAUUUAACCUCAGCAGAAUAAAAUUAUCCAACAGAACACAAAAUGAUAAUAAACACUUUACAUGUGUCUUUCUCUGAUUGAACAGCAUAGUUUUUGUCCAAAUUGGGUAGUGUCUGUUUUAGCUGACAAACCUAAAAUAAGACAAACCAAAUUAACAAACUUCUGAUACAGGUAAAAGGUUUUCUAGCAUUUAAAUCAAAGAUGGUCAAACAUCAGCCAAAGAAAAGUAGAUGUUUGAAAGCAAACUAUAAGCAAUUUAACUAUUUCCUAUAUUGCUUAAUAGGUGGAUACAUGUAUCAGCAAUCAAAUAUGAAAUCGACAAGACAUGUUUCAGUGUUGGUUACAUUUUCGCAAAAACACAUCAUGAAGUUCGGGCAUUCAUAACCAAAUAUCAUACCUCCAUAAUAGUUAAUGGAGGAUUGGUUUUGCUGCGCAAAUACCAUAUCAAGCCUAUACUAGUUUUUUUUCCCUGAAAGAGGGAGAAGAUUUAACAUCAUAUAAACCAAAUGACAGUUAAAGAAAUAUAGACAAACCUUAUAGCACAUCCAACGUAGAACUUUUGAGUCAUCAAGUCUGAAGAAUUUUGAGGAUCCAACUUCUGCAUAAGCAUGACGUUACAAGACCAUGAGAAUUAAAAACAAGAAAAUGAUUAACAAUGAGUUCACCACACUUUUCUAUCAUCAACAUUAUAAAAAACAUAAAGUCAACAACAAACUUCUCAAUUUCUUUCCAAGAUGCUGCCCAAUAAUGACUUAGAUCAUAAGAAAACAUGGCAAACUUUCAAACUGAAGUUGUAAAUAGAAAGAGUACAAGAAUAUAGUCACCUUUGACUUCAGAAACAACUUGCAUACAGUUCUCCACAACAGACAUUAACUGCAUAUAUCCUGGAUAGCCAUCAAUAAAUAAUAUCUCAUCUAAUUGCCUGAACCUCCCAAGAUCAUCCCCUUUCUGCUUGCAUUUCAAAGAAACCAGUGACGUUCAGAGAUGUAGUUUUUCAGGGUCAAAAUACAAUGUAGACCUAAUUAAUCCAUUCACAAAACUAAAUGGUAGGAGUUCUGCGGACCACACAAACGAGGGAUUUCAUGGACUUUGUGUGUAGAGGUUUCUCUGAGGAUAUAAACCUAUAGUUAUUAGAUUGGGUGGGUUCUAUACUUAAGGUGUCAUGUGAGAAAUUAAAACUUUUGUUCUGUUUAAUAGUUGGCCAAGGAUACAUAAAUGGAAAAGACUUCAGAAAUAAGAAAUUUCUUCCAAUUGCCAUGGUUCAAAAGAAAUAUAAAACUUAUUACCUUCAUUCUAGCUUCCUCAAAUAUAGGCAACAUGAUGAAAACAGGAUCAAUUGGUGUGGAUAAAUACAACCGACCAUCUGUUGGGAAACAAAAACAAUAACGAUGAAAAAUUCUGCUUAAAAGUGCUGCUUAGUUUCUCCAUGAAUGAAAGACCUAGAGAGUAGAGACUACUGACAUGACAAGAGCAAACACAAUGCUUUCAAUCUGACAAAAGAACAAGAGAUUUUCAAAAAAAAAUUAAGUGUUGGUAAGAAGUACAAGAACAUGGCAUAGGCAGAGCAGGAACGGAAGUAUUAUUUUUUUAAGUAUAAGUAAAAAAGAUUUCCAGACAAGAGAUAAAUGAGAGAAAGAAAUGUACCUCACGCAAUAUAAACAUGAAUAACAAUGCAAAAUGCAUACUUUACAAGAUAAUCAAACAUCUCUACCUUCAGUUAUAUAAUCUCCCAAAAACCAAGAUCCAUACAAGUUCUUAAACCACUGAAGUUCUUGAAGCAUUCCAUUUGCAAACAGAUACUGUGUUGCAUUUCCUGUCAAAGAAGCGGAAAUAUGUAAAAACUGAAAGAAAACGCAAGAUCAAGAAGCCUGAAUAAAAGGCUAAUUCCUUGAGAAAGAUUGAUAGCAAAAUUGAGUGUGAUACGAUGUUAUUAACUGAAUAAACAAAUUUUAAUCAACACAUUAAGAAAUUGAGAUAGAAAAAUCAAAUAAAUAAUAUUUAUAUAAACAAGCAACAAAACACUAUGAGAAGUACAUAAAAUAAUGGACAUCCUUCAAAUUACCAGACUUGGGAUGGCGGAGCGAUAUCAUCUGUCCCAGACCAUUUCCACAGGUUCCAGGAUCUGCACUUGAGUAAUAAAUAAUUAAAUAAAAUGCAUUAACAACUGAUUGUAAAGUAAUGCAAAAAAAAAAUAUUAAGAAAAUAAAAAUAUCUUCAACGGCACAUAACAAUGAGAAAUUGGUCGCAAAAUAAGAAUAUAAAUCGAAAUAAAUGAUCGGAAGCUAAAUAUUACCAGUCAUCGGAAACCAAAAAACAGAAGCAUUUUUCUAUUAAAAUUAAUUUUGGUAUUGUUUUUCUGUUCGUAUAUUUUGUCUAUUAGAAGUGACUAUAACUUUAUAGAUGGAAAUAAAGAAGAACAGAAAUAUCAAGAACAGAUGAGAUGUAAAUUUACCAGGUGCGAUGAGAACCCGUGGUUCCUGAACCCCAUCACACCAACUCAUUGGUUUAGCAGAAGAGGAUUCAAAAGCCCUAACACCACCAGUCACCGAUCGUUCCCUUCGCCGGUAACGGUAACUGCAAUUCUAACGGAAUAAUGUUAAUGUCACAAGUGAAUUGCAAUGUAGAAAGAACAAGAACACAGUAAAACUUACAUAUUUAGAGUAAAGAGAGCUUUAACAGGGAAGGUAACGAGGGAGGAGUUAGAGUGGCGCUGAAUCGCCAAAUGAAGUGCUCCUGGGAAUCUGAAGCUCAAACAUAUUCGCGCCAUUAAAAUCACCCUUCUGCUUUUUUCCCUUCUCGGACACGGGCCCUAUCUACACCAAUCGGACCAGGCCCAAUGGGCUUAGUGUUGCUUCAACCGAGUCCAAUUUUUAUUUAUAUAUUUAAUAAAGUGAUACUUAUCAUUCUUAUUUUUAAAUAAGUUUUUUUUUAAUAUAUAAAACUGAUUUUAUUUUAUAAUUUAUAUUUUAUAUUAAAUUUGGCUACUCAUACUUUUUUUUCGUAAGAAAAAUGUGUGUGCUGAUAACUUAGCUAAUUUAGGAUUUAUUUAUAGAGAAUCAUUUUAUUGGUAUAAUUUAUUUUCAUCAAAUCUGUUCUUAAAAUUCUUUAUAUUCUUUAUUAAUAGGUAUAAUCUACAUAUCUAUCGUUUUUGUUAACAUAUUGGUUUUGGUCUAGUCUCUCCAUAUUUUUGUAUUUUUUUUUUAAUAAUACUUUUUUUUAUGUGAUGACAAAUUCAUAGUAAGCAUUUUAUAUAAAAAAUAAUAAUAAUGUGCUUAAGAAUGUCUAUUAUGAUUGAAGAUUAUGUUUUCUGAUCACAAGUCCAACACAGCGGAAUGGAAGAGAGAUCCAUAAUCUGUUAUUAGCAAGUUUUGUCGUAUCUUGUAUUGAAAUCACGACCCAUCUAAAUAAAACGUUUACAUCAUUGUUUCUAGUGAUGAUUAAUUUCAGUGUCACAAUGAAGUCAAAAAUAUAACACAUCGAAUUAAAUUAUAUAUAUAUACAUAUAUAAUUUAUUGGAUAAGUUUAUUUUUAAGUUAAAAUUAAUAAAAAAAAACAUAUGAACAAGAACCAAUAUAUUUUUUAAUUCAUUUUAUUCUUAUUUCUUUUAAUUUCUCUUUAUAAUUAACAUUUUCCGCAAGUAAUAUAUGAAUCAUGUUUAAAUAAGAUUAUAACUGAAUUCUUUGGGAGAUGUUUUGCGUUUACUAACCCUAUUUAUACUUUAAUUUUAUUAACUUAUCAUGCAAUAGAUGAUCUAUGUCAAGUACCAUACAAUCCAAGACACUACAUUACAUUACAUUAUCUACUCUCAAACUCUUUUAUUUAAUUAAAAAUAACAACAACAAGUUUACACGAUUAAACAUUGAAAUGAUAAUCAAACAUUUUCACAUGACAAAUCAUAAACAACAAAUAUAAAAUUUUUAAAAAAUAUAAAUGAUCAAAUGUGAGUCCUAUCAAUAGUUUAAUUUAAUAUAAUUGAAGUUUAUAUUUUCUAAAAUACAAUACAAUGAUUAAAUAUGAAAAAAAAAAUAUGAUUGAGAUUGUGAUGAGAGAGUAAGUGUAUUGAAAUCUAAGUAAACUUAGUCGAUAUAUAAUUAAUUGAAUAAUUGAAAAAAAUGGAAAAUUGUUUAGAAAAAAAAGGAUAAAAUGAAAAACAAUAAAGAUAACAUUAAAAAUAAGCUUUUUAAGUUAGAAACAAACUAAAUGAUUUAAAACAAAACGGGUAUAAGAACAAGGAUUAAAUAUACAUCCUCAUCCAUAUUUACUAUAUAUUUAAAAAAUUUGACAUUACUCAUAUCUUGUUAAAGCGGUUUUUUUUUAGAAUCAAGACAAAUUUAUAACCACAAAAACAAGUUUUUUUUUUUUUUAAUUUCUACUUUCAACUAAGAGUUCGGUUGAAAAAAAAAAUCAUGAAAUAUCCCUUUUUUUUCAUUAAGAUUUAUGUAAUAUGUUUAGAAAAAAAAGGUAUAUAUAUAUAUAUAUAAUUUUGAUAAUUAUUUAAUUUGUUAUUAGAAUGUUUCCAUCACGUCAACACAUGAUAAUUUACUUUUACUUGUGAAAUGGAUAGCCUUAACUCCGUAUAGGAUCAAUUAUUCCAUAUUUAAAGUAAUAUCAUCAUAUUUGAACCUUUGACUCCUUUAUCAUUUGCUUAAAAGAUUCAAGUCUUGCUAAUUUAUCAACAACUUUAAUAAAUGUUUACACUUUGAAUCGUCUUGUUGAAUGUUAAAAUUAUAAAUUCCAUAUAGAUUGAUAAUUUACAAUUAAUAACUUCAUCAAUUUGAUGAUUGCUGUAUCUUUCUUUAUUCACCUUGGUAAGUUAAGUUUAAUGUUUAUUUAUUGAAUUUACUUUUUAUAUUAUUAAUAAAAAUAAUGUUAUAUAAAAAGAAGUUAUAUGAGAUACCCUGAUCCACGUAUAACUUACUCGGUUUUCCAUUCUUUAAUCACUUAACCAAACCAUGUUACUAGUUUUUACUAUUUUUCUUACAUUUAUUAAAAUAUUGAAUACUUCUAAGAUAUCAAAUAUAUUUUUGUAGUGAAAGUGAAGUUCAAGAAUAAAAACUAACCAAUCUUGGUCGGUUUAAGAAUAUUUGCUUAUUAUUUUUUAUAAAAUAUUAACAAAUUUAUUUAUAGGUCCAAGAAAUAACGAGAUGAAAGAAAAUAGAGCUUCUUAUCUAAAAAUUUGUAAGGCCGUAUCUUAAAUUCUAACCUUUAUUUUACUGAUUCUCAUCUUUCUUUCAUAAAAAACUGUGUCGGUAGGAAAUGACACAUGAAUCAUGAUACUUUUCUCCUCCAUAAAAAAAAACAUCUAAUUAUGAUUGAAAAAACCAACGGUAAAGUAUGGAAAAAUUUGUGUCGGUCCAACCAAGACUCAUCAAACUAAAAAAUUAUUUUAGUCAUUUUUUAAUAAAUAAAAUAUACUAAAACAUAAUUAUAAAUUAAUUUGGUCUAAAAUUCAUUUAAACUUCAGAUUAAACAGGUCCUACUAAAAUUUAUCUACUUUAAUUUAAAUUACUAUUUUCAAAUAUAAUCCGUUCUAUUAUGGAUUAUUCAAAUCGAUCCUUUGAGUUAGAUUUUUUUUUACCAAUUUUACUACUAGUUAAAUUAAUAAAUAAUAAUAGAAUCUAAAAAUAGCACUUUUUCGGACGGUACAAACCAGAGCUCACUCAAGGCUUAUCCACUACUUGCAAGUUUGGAAAAUGAUACUGAUG